Molecule: ribosomal RNA, 301 nt
Filed under: uncultured bacterium
Lineage: Bacteria
Description: partial 16S ribosomal RNA
Rfam family: Bacterial small subunit ribosomal RNA
Source: RNAcentral
CAGUCGCCGCGGUAAUACAGAGGGUGCGAGCGUUAAUCGGAUUUACUGGGCGUAAAGCGUGUGUAGGUUGUUGUUCAAGUCAGUUGUGAAAUCCCUGGGCUCAACCUGGGAACUGCUUCUGAGACUGAACGACUAGAGUACGGUAGAGGGUGGUGGAAUUUCCGGUGUAGCGGUGAAAUGCGUAGAUAUCGGAAGGAACAUCGAUGGCGAAGGCAGCCACCUGGGCCUGUACUGACACUGAGACACGAAAGCGUGGGGAUCAAACAGGAUUAGAUACCCCGGUAGUCCCUGUCUCUUAUAA